GGAAGCCGCUUCCCCUGCCAGCCGCCAGCCGUUUCCUCUCCCUCGCCGGCCUCGGAGGAGAUUCCAGGCCCUGUAGAGACCAGGACGUUCCUUAGCGCCACCGCCCCACAUGCCAGUGCUGCCGGGAACCCAGCGAUAUCCGCACCAGCGGAGAAGGUUCCAGGCUGCCGGCGGCGGCGCGGAGAGCGGGAAGAGAGGAGCGGAGGAAGCCCCGGGCGUGGCGCGGUCAGGCUCCGAGAGCGGCCGGGAUGCGGCCACAUCGGCCUGGUAAACUCGUACCGCUUAGGAUCUUGCUCCCGAACUCAUUCCCUUCCCCACCCCCCAUUUUAAAGUUUUAUUUGGGUCGUCUGUGUCAAUUUAGAACGAGAUAAAUUAAGACAAAGAAAGUAAAAUAAAUCGAAAUAAAAUAAAGGAAUAGCUCUUGGCGAAAA
Molecule: non-coding RNA, 431 nt
Filed under: Pongo abelii (Sumatran orangutan)
Lineage: Eukaryota; Metazoa; Chordata; Mammalia; Primates; Hominidae
Source: RNAcentral